Molecule: ribosomal RNA, 440 nt
Filed under: uncultured bacterium
Lineage: Bacteria
Description: partial 16S ribosomal RNA
Rfam family: Bacterial small subunit ribosomal RNA
Source: RNAcentral
CCUACGGGAGGCAGCAGUGGGGAAUAUUGCACAAUGGGGGAAACCCUGAUGCAGCGACGCCGCGUGAGUGAAGAAGUAUUUCGGUAUGUAAAGCUCUAUCAGCAGGGAAGAAAAUGACGGUACCUGACUAAGAAGCCCUGGCUAACUACGUGCCAGCAGCCGCGGUCAUACGUAGGGGGCAAGCGUUAUCCGGAUUUACUGGGUGGAAAGGGAGCGUAGACGGCAGAGCAAGUCUGAAGUGAAAGCCCGCGGCCCAACUGCGGGACUGCUUUGGAAACUGCCCGGCUAGAGUGCUGGAGAGGUAAGCGGAAUUCCUAGUGUAGCGGUGAAAUGCGUAGAUAUUAGGAGGAACACCAGUGGCGAAGGCGGCUUACUGGACAGUAACUGACGUUGAGGCUCGAAAGCGUGGGGAGCGAACAGGAUUAGAUACCCGUGUAGUC